RNAcentral lists this ribosomal RNA (734 nucleotides) under uncultured bacterium. RNAcentral's name for it is "bacterial SSU rRNA". It matches the Rfam family "Bacterial small subunit ribosomal RNA", at positions 121 to 841 of the family's 1533-position model. The record is from RNAcentral.
GCAACCUGCCCAAAAGAGGGGGAUAACACUUGGAAACAGGUGCUAAUACCGCAUAACCAUAGUUACCGCAUGGUAACUAUGUAAAAGGUGGCUAUGCUACCGCUUUUGGAUGGGCCCGCGGCGCAUUAGCUAGUUGGUGGGGUAAAGGCUUACCAAGGCAAUGAUGCGUAGCCGAACUGAGAGGUUGAUCGGCCACAUUGGGACUGAGACACGGCCCAAACUCCUACGGGAGGCAGCAGUAGGGAAUCUUCCACAAUGGGCGAAAGCCUGAUGGAGCAACGCCGCGUGGGUGAAGAAGGUCUUCGGAUCGUAAAACCCUGUUGUUAGAGAAGAAAGUGCGUGAGAGUAACUGUUCACGUUUCGACGGUAUCUAACCAGAAAGCCACGGCUAACUACGUGCCAGCAGCCGCGGUAAUACGUAGGUGGCAAGCGUUAUCCGGAUUUAUUGGGCGUAAAGGGAACGCAGGCGGUCUUUUAAGUCUGAUGUGAAAGCCUUCGGCUUAACCGGAGUAGUGCAUUGGAAACUGGGAGACUUGAGUGCAGAAGAGGAGAGUGGAACUCCAUGUGUAGCGGUGAAAUGCGUAGAUAUAUGGAAGAACACCAGUGGCGAAAGCGGCUCUCUGGUCUGUAACUGACGCUGAGGUUCGAAAGCGUGGGUAGCAAACAGGAUUAGAUACCCUGGUAGUCCACGCCGUAAACGAUGAAUGCUAAGUGUUGGAGGGUUUCCGCCCUUC